This 377-nucleotide ribosomal RNA is filed under the name uncultured bacterium. RNAcentral's name for it is "bacterial SSU rRNA". It matches the Rfam family "Bacterial small subunit ribosomal RNA", at positions 523 to 898 of the family's 1533-position model. The record is from RNAcentral.
AUACGUAGGGGGCGAGCGUUGUCCGGAAUAAUUGGGCGUAAAGGGCGCGUAGGCGGCUCUGCAAGUCAGUAGUGGAAGUCCCAUUUUCAAGGUGGGGAGGGCUGUUGAAACUGCGGAGCUUGAGUGCAGGAGAGGUUAUCGGAAUUCCCGGUGUAGCGGUGAAAUGCGUAGAGAUCGGGAGGAACACCAGUGGCGAAGGCGGGUAACUGGACUGCAACUGACGCUGAGGCGCGAAAGUGUGGGGAGCAAACAGGAUUAGAUACCCUGGUAGUCCACACUGUAAACGAUGAAUGCUAGGUGUAGGGGGUAUCGACCCCUUCUGUGCCGGAGUAAACACAAUAAGCAUUCCGCCUGGGGAGUACGGUCGCAAGAUUAAA